CAAAUGUUUUUUUUUUUUUUAUUCGUAGUUAUACUAUAUGUAAACUUGCCACCCCCGCAACUAGACAUGAACAUUGUUGUAUGAUCAUGAAAGCUAAUCUACUCGAGCUUCACUUACAAUGACAUACACAGUACACGUGUUUCCUACCUUAAAAGAGGGAAGGCACAAAAAGAGGAAAAAAAAAAUCCAGAACUUACAUGGGCCUGUACAUCUCUUCUUCUCUAUGACGACAAAAUUAGAAUACCCAUGGAGACAGGACAAAAGAAAAAAAAGAAAAAGAAGAUACAAUGGAAAUUUACAAGACCAAGUUUAACACUGGUAAACCGAAUAGCUCUUGCUCUUCCAAAAAAAGCUUAAAGCUUUCCCCAUCCUCCUCCUGGAGACCGAUUUACAUAGUGGCUUUGAUUCCUGACUUGGCAUUGCCUUGGAACUACUUUCAGCCCGUUGAAAGCGCACCUCAGCAGGUGGUUGAGGUUGAUCCCGUUGCCGUUGCUCCCGGAAUAGCAUUAGAAGUUUCUGUGCCUUAUCUUUCCCUCUUGUGGUACCAUUUACUGAGAUAGAGACCAAUGCAGGUAUAACCCCUUCUUGAAGGACCAUUUGACUGCACUUUUCACUGCCGUUGCACAAAAUGUAAAGGCAUGAGGCAGCUUGCUCCUGCUCAAUGGGUUCACCCGUGUCCAAUAUUGUUGCUAGCGCACCAAUAAGGCCAGGGGCUGCUACCAUUUCAUCUUUUCCUGAUUUAUUUGUAGCUAAAUUUAUCAACACUGCUAUGGAUUUUUCCGUCCACUCAAGGUCUCCAGGGGCUGCAAGAAGACAUUGGAGGCCACUGAUGAUGCCAGCAGAAAGGAGGCUCAGAAUAUGGGAGGCCUUGGAGGAGAGAUUAUAGAGGGUAUGGAGGGCAUCCAUCUUGCAUUGAGGUUCAGCUUCACCUUGAAGAAUCUGGACUAAAAAGGGAACAGCCUGACUUGAGCCAAUUAUGGACUUUGCAUCUUCAUGGCAGGAGAGAUUCAAAUAGAGGGCUGUUGCUGAUCCAUGGGAAUCAGAGUUGGAGAUCAUCAUCUCCAGCAAUGGGAUAACACCUGCAGCCAGCAUCAUUUCCUUGUUUCUGUUAUUGUUGACAGCAAGGUUAAAGAGAGCCAUAGCUCCACUUUCCUGAGCCACUGCAUCCCUUGCAUGCACAGCUGACUCCAGGAACUGCAACAGUUCUUCAACAAACCCAUUAGCCCCCAUACAAAUCCUGGCCUCCUCAUCAUCUUUUAGCAGAAGCCUUAUUUUUUCUACUACCUUGCACUUUUUCCUCAAGUCUUUCUCUUCAUUUAAGAUGUUCAAAAAAUUCUGGUACCUUUGAAACAUAUCAUGCGUAACGUCUUCUUCCUGUGGAGAUUUUUCCUCCUCUGGAGUUGAACUUUCCAUUUCAUGUUGUUCAGCCUCCUCAAUGGUACCACUCUCUAAAGGAACUACCUUCAUACCUUUCAAUUUGCCAGAGCUGAUGCUGUCCACUGAUUUUGAAUUUGCAGACUCCGACUGACACAAUGACAGCCUAAAGUAGUUGAGAUCAAGAGAAUCUGGGGGGCCAUCAGGGACUGGAACUCCAUUCUGUUCACACCAACUAGUGACAAGACCCUUGACACAAUAAUUAGGAGUCAAACACAGAUGAGAGAGCUUCUGUUGAGUCUUUGGGCAGGUGUCAUGCCCAUCACUGAACCAUUUCUCAAUGCAGAUCCUCUCGUAUGUUUGUCCAGAUGCAAUGAUUACUGGAUCAUACAUUAGCUGCAAUGAUAUUGGACACCUUAAUUCUUCUGGAGGAACAGCUAUCUGGUCAGAUUUCCUAUUGUUUGGCUUGAAAUUGAAAGAACUAAGCUUCGACAACUGUCGCUCAAAGGCAUGGCCAUCACCAGCAUCCACAAAAGAACCCUGAACUGUGGGUGAACAAGGUGUUGAACCCUGUGAAUCAUUGUCAUCUGUGAGCUCACUUCUAAAUAACUUGGAGUAUUUCCUCAUCAGAUGUAAGAGAUAAGCCACAAUUGAUUCCUUCCGCUUGUCUUCCUCUACCCGAGCUCUUUCUAUAAGUUUCUUAAGAGCCCUUCUCUCUGCAAGAGCUGCUCUCGAAGAAGUAAUACCAAGUUUAGUGGCUGCCUGAUGAAAAGAUUCUAGCUCAUUAUUGUCAUUACAGUCAUCAAAUUUUCUCCCUUGCUGAAGCAAUGCAAUUACUUCAUCACCCACUUGUUUCUCUAAUGGAUCAAGUGAGAACACAAUGCCCUCCAAUUCACUUACAAUCUCCAAAAUCUGGCAUCCAAUACAUUGUGGGACAAUGUCGUAAACACGCCUAAGACUAUCUACAAGAGCAGAUCUUGCCUUUUCAAAUUUUAAAAGAACAGAAUCUCCAGUGAUAGCCAAAUAAAGCUUGCUGCAUUCUGAGCAAUGCUGAAGAAUAUUCUUGGCUUUUUCAAGUGCUAUAUGCAAUGAACAUAAUGCUUGAAUGCCAGAUUUGCUCCUGGGUCGUGCCGCUUCCAAAGAAGGAAAAAUUGACACGAUUUUGCAAUAUAUUACAGAGAGUGCCUUGCACAUUACUCCAUGUAGCUUAGCAUCACUUGCUGCAAAUAAAUUUUCUUCAACUUCAAUGAUUUCCAUAGUCCACAUUUACCAAUGAAAAUUAUAUUGCAAAUCUAUUACAACUGAAACACACAAAAGGAGAUUCAAAGAAAACUAGUUAAAAGCUAAAAGAAACUCCUCUUCCAGAUCAAACAAAAAGAAGAAUUUGCUAAGACCAAAACAAAAGGCUAAUUAAUACAGAAUUUGCAACAUCUAUUCGACAAAAUCAUUCGCGAGACGCAACUGACAUGUGAACAAGAAUUAACAAGGUUUUGAUUAAGACAUUUUAUCCAACGCCGAAAACUCAAAUACCCAAUAACGAAAAAUUUUACAAAACAAAGAGAAAGAGCAUACAAACUGAUUGAGACAUUUCAACGAACACGUAUAAGCUUAAAAGAACCCAAAAAUCAGCAUCAAAGGGAUUUUUUUUUAAUCGAAAAUGACCUACCUAGUUAAGAUCUUUUCACGAAGACAUGACCACCCAGAAAUCUCCGUCACCUCUAGAUAUUCUAAACCAGAUCAAAUAUAAAGCCUGAAUAAAGCCCAAAAUUAAAACAAUACAAAAACGCGGAUUCCCC
RNAcentral lists this unclassified non-coding RNA (3170 nucleotides) under Hevea brasiliensis (rubber tree). The record is from RNAcentral. Lineage: Eukaryota; Viridiplantae; Streptophyta; Magnoliopsida; Malpighiales; Euphorbiaceae.